This is a long non-coding RNA of Brassica oleracea var. oleracea, 1342 nucleotides long. RefSeq lists it as uncharacterized. Lineage: Eukaryota; Viridiplantae; Streptophyta; Magnoliopsida; Brassicales; Brassicaceae. The transcript has 7 exons. The record is from RefSeq and is a predicted model, not a curated record.
UCGAGUCUUAGUUGGAGGCUAAGGGAAGAAAUAUUUUCCAGGAGAAGAAGAUAAUGCUUGUGGCUUUUAUUUGUCUACCAUCCUGCUGUUUUGUAAUACAUGAUUGGAUUCUAUCAUCCUGAUGUUGUGACUGUGAGACAUUCUACUGAAGCGAUCCAAAGGAAUCCAAAAGACCCGAGGGCAUACAGAAACUGAGCUGUGUGUUAUGCAAAGCUGGGGCAAUACUUAUAUGAUUUAAGGAUGCGGAGAAGUGCAUCAAGAUCGAUCCAACAUUCUCAAAGGGGUACAGCAGAAAAAUUGCUGUCCAAUUCUUCAUCAAGGAGUAUGAAAAUUCAAUGGACACAUACCAAUAGGGUCGCAAACAUGAUCCUAAUAUUGAGCUUCUCUCGAUGGUGUUGGAAGAUGUGUACAAUAGAUCAACAAGCACACUGUGGUGACCUUACUCCCAAGGAGUUUAAAGAACUACUGACAAGCGGAAUGCAAGACCCGACAAUCCAAAACAUUCUCACAGAUCACGUGUUGAGAAGGUACUGGCUGAUCUGUGAUUGUGACUUACCAGAAGUCUCUUACAGAGGACCAUAACCCAUAUACGUUGAAGAGGCUGAAUGAGGCUGUGAGAUUUAAGAAAGAGUUAGAGCAGAAAGAGUAUUCUGAUCUCAGUGUUAGCGAUGCGGAACGUUAAAAUUGGUAUGAGCUCUUCAAGGAGAAGAAGUAUCAUGAUGCUGUGAGACAUUACCAUGAAGUGAUCAAAAUGAACCCAAAAGACUUGAGAAGGCAUACGACAAUCGAGCUGCGUGUUACACAAAACUAACAAGUUCUUCCAAGGGAGGCAUAUCGGGAACAAAAGAGAUGUGAAGGUAGCAAUCAAGACAAUACUCGAUGUUGAUCCAAUAGAAGUCAAGGGAGAUAGAAGCAAGACUGUGUUAUUUAAUGCGGGAAGGGUAGCUAAAGGCCUUAAGCAUCUUGAUGAAAAGUAUUGCAAAAAAACAUGGGAGAUAUUGAGCAGUGUGGUUGUUAUGCAGCGUGCCAUUAUGAUAUUACACGAACGUGGAGCAACUCAUAGAGGAGGUGAGCCAUUAACUUCGUUUAGUUUUAAAUUAGUCACGUGACGCAACUCACUUUGGAUUAACAAAUCAGUUCCAGAGCAUCAAAGGAGAUGAUAGAGUUUAACUCAUAAUACGCAAGUGAAAAUAAAACACAAUUCCUGAUUCAUUUCACAUUGUAGUUAGAGUGUUAGGUCUAAGUUUUGAAAACACUAUUUGAACUAUGAAUUCUGACAAAAUUAUAACAUUAUGUAACAUAAAAUAAGUGAAACAUUCAGAUUCAUGAUGUAAACCACCGA